AAAAUUUUAUUGGUGCUGAGGUAGCUUGCCUUAUUGUGGAAUAGUCAGCCAAGAUAUUUGCACAGUUUGACUAGUGUUAAUUUUCAUUUUUAUUGAGAUUUUACACAAAAGGAGCAAGAAAAUAGCAAGCAGUAUAAUUUACAUAUCACAGCAUAUCCAAGUUACACAGUGGCAGCAGCAAAUGCCAACAGGCACAGUAUGGAGCACAGGACCCAAGAGCUCAGUCAGUCACAUGACUAGUGGGAGAUGUGCAGGCAUCAGAUGAAUUAUGUUAAAAAAGUGAUUGGUGGGGAGGAAGUGUUGGAUUUAAUGUAAGCCCUCUCCUGACAAAGGGGAAGGCUGCCUUUCAGUAGUGAAAGGGUGGUUAUUGGGUGGUGAAAUGGGAAUUGGCAAUAGGCUCUACUGGUGAAUGAGUGACAGGAUCAAAUCUGUCACCACUGUCCCCUUCAUAUAACUUACGGAUUGCGAUUUUUUUCCCUUAAAGAUGGGUUGCACAGGCUUGUUGGCCAUCUGAACAGGAAAGUGCUGCUUUAUCCCUUCAGGAAAUAAGGAAGAUUUUGUCUGACUGACUUUAUGGUCAUGUCAAGUCCAAUCACAGAUGAGUCCUCCAAGAAACUAAAGAUGUUGUUCUAUGAUGAAGACAAACACACUUUUAAAACAGAGGGCGGACAUCUACAAUUUAAAAACAUAAUGUAUCUCACAGCUCCCAUGACUUACUGGAGGAGGAAAGUGAAAACAACUACAACAACAUUUUAAUUUCUUGUUUGGUUUUGUGUUUUCUUUUGCAAAGGAAAUGAUGCAGCUCAUGUUAGUUUAGUAAAAUUAGCACCUACAGUGUCUAAGCAGGAGAACAAGAAUAUACAAUUAUAUUUGACUGCAGAACAAGAACACACAAUUGUUUUUUUUUUGUUUGUUUGCUUUGUUUUGUUUUAUUUUGUUUUUUAAUCUCUUCUUUACAUUAAAGAAACAGCUGCAUUUUUUAUUAUUAUUAUUUUUAUUUUUACUGCCAGUGCAUCUUUGCUGUUUGGAAAACUAAAUAAAUGGUUACAGAUGAGCCGUAACAGAACUUUUUUCAAACUAAGCUGCAGAGAAUAAACGUUUAAAUAUUCUCUAGGUACUAGUAGUAAUUCUGGGUAAGACAGAAAAUGGAUGGUAAACUUUUGUUCCAAAAUUUACCUGUAAGCAUUGCUAUAUUUCUAAAGCUCCUCUCUUCUCCCUCCCCUCUUCACAAAUUCCCUCCCCUCUUCAUUCAGUUACAUCACAUGUUCAUACAUGUAAAUAUGCAUAUCAAACAGUUCAUAAAACAAGCACUGCAGAAGAGCUAGUGACUUUUAUUUGUAAAUUAUUGCUAUAGAUUGGGUUGGAUUUUUUAAAAGGGAUAUUAACAUUCCCUACUGCUAAUUCUGAAGUAAAUAAAAUGAUACGAGGUAGAUGAAUUUCUCAAAGGUUAAGUAGUUCUCAUUUGAUUACACAUCUGAAAAUCCAUACUUAGACUACAACUUUAGAAACUGAACUAGAAAUAUCCCUAUAUUUACAGCAGUUACUGAUUGCUCUUAGACUAGAACUAAUAAAGAAGUAGUCCUUUUUGGUUUUUCUGAACAUCCACUUUUGAUCCUUAUCUGGACAAAUUAAAUUUUAAGUGAGAAACAAUGGAGCAAAGAUGUAACAUGGCCAGAGUUUUAAAUGUCAUAAUUUCCUCCAUUUCUUAGUUACUGUUAUCCUACAUUGAUCUGUUCCUCUGCAAGCAGUGACAGUUUUAGAACUGAGACACAUUUUAAAGCUCUCGAUGUGGGUUUUGCAUAGGGAUUAUCUGAAGGACUCCAAGGGAAAGGGGAUCUUCAGCAUGCUGGUUGGUGCUUCAGCAUGCUAAACAAUUUACUGACCUAUCCAGAAGUGUUCAAUCCACUACCAUCCAUGCAGGACAUACAGCCUUUGUGGAACACCAGUGUUCAUUUCAUAUUUCAGGAUCAAACGUGACAUUUGUAUCCACACACAACUUUCAUUACUUGGUUUUGUUAUUGCACACAAUAUAAAAAAAAAAAAAAUAGAAAUGAUAUGGCUUGUAAAGCUGGCAGAACACUACUCAAAGGUGUACUGCCAUCUUCUGGGAGAAUCUAUCCAGUUUUGAAGCCAGAUGAAUUAGUUACUUUGUCCAACUUCUGCCCGCUGUAGUGAAGAAGAUGUUGUUUUCCAAGCAGCUGACAGUACAGCUGAAAGGUUUGCAUUUUAGCUUUAUAAUGUCUUGCUUCAUUCAGGACCAAGAAACAAACAUCAUCACAUCAUACAGUAAUGUGUACUAGCACAUCAGACUGCUUAAGAAAAUCUCUUUUAUGGCCAAAGAAGACAUGAUAACAUUAGUAAUACAUUAUCUUCAGAGUGAUCAAAAUUUUUAAUUAUCAUCUCUUCAAGUCCUACUCCUAUUCAAUAUUCCAAAGGAAAACACAAAUUGGUUGUGUUCAAUUCACAGAGAUUCAUUAUGAGUUUGAGAUAUAUCAGCCAAUCUUCAAAUAAUUAAAAAGUUACUUUUUAUCUAUUUUUCAUCUACUGACGCACACUGACCCUUUGGAUCAGGCUAUUAAUAACCUGAUUUAUGACAUCUUCCAUGCUUAGACAGAUCAGCAGGAAAUCAGCUUCACGAACUUGCAUGUCUCUCUAAAAACAUUUUAAUAGUGCUAACAAAAAGCUUGGAUGUCUCAGAUGAAAAGCAACCACUCCAGUCAUUUCAAAUAUUUUUCCAUAUAAUAAUGUUGUUGCUUUUUCGUAGACUAGAAAAACACUGCCUGAAAUCUCUUGCAGAAUUUGCAUGAAUUCACUGAAUUUAAGGCUAAUAUAUACCAAAUCUCCACUGCCUUUUACAAGUGCAGAUGUAAGGAAGCAGAGAAACUGUUUAUUCUGUGAGCAAAUGUUAUCUAAUGAAACGUGUUUAAACUAAAACAUCUGUCUAAUUAAGCCUCAAAUUCCCAAGUAACAAUAUAUUUUGCUGCUGAUAUUGAUAAGCCAUGGACAUGCCAAUGAUUAUCAGCUAUACCCAAGAAAAGACAAAAAAUCAUAUUACCGUGUGAAUCGCUAAUAAUCACCGAAGUUGCCAGGGCUCUUAACUUACCCUCUUUCUGUUCUAUCUCUUUUUGUCAUAGGCUGGAAGUAUGUCAGAGAGAGGGGAGUUAGAAGGUUUACCCAUUAGUCACUGCUGAAUCUCAUAUUUAAUAUUUAUGCUAAUAAGCCAUCCCCAAGCCAGUUUAUCAGUUAAUGCACGGAGACUCUCUGUCAUCCUACGAGCAGUAAUACUCAUCAAAGCAGAUUUUAAAGCAAAUGCUUUAUGCUGAAAUGAAACAAAACCACUACUAGGGCUGAUAAAUGCUGGUAAGCCCAGGACAGGAUGCAAAGAGGUCAGCAAUUCCUCCGCUGCCACCACCCUGUCACAGCUCAGACUGACUGCUACAGAACAAGCAGUCUGCAACCAGCUGCUUUUUGCAUGUCCCAUCUAACUCUGACCUUCGGCAGAGCUCAGCUGGGGCUCUCCACACAGUAUUCGGAGGGCAAAAGUUAAUUGAAACCAAUUAGGCUGCAAUGAUGUUGUCUAAUGAACUCAGACCAGCCAUGUACAAAGACUACCAGGCUUUUUGUUACCAUAAACAUCCUUGGUGUUCAAAAGGAUGCAAAAUACAGGUAUUUUCUAAUCUCUGUUUACUCUGCAACUUGGUUUUACCAUUUUUAGGAACAUCUGUGGAGCUCACAAGUACUAGAGUUAACUAAUGAAAAAGGCUGCCUGAUCCAAGUAGCUGACUCUUGUCAUAUAACUUCUUAUUCUCCUGCUAUUAUCUACCCAGCUGAAAGGACCCUGCAAAGAAUGGCAGUUACUGGACGAAAAGAGAGGUUCACUGACAUCAGUAAUGCAAUUCAUCUUCAGUACUCCCACGAAAAGCUUAUGCAUACAAAUAGAAGCUCACAGAAGGAGGCAUGUGCUUCCCCUGCACAGUUCUUCCACACUGUAAAUACUCUUUGGAAAGCUUACAGUGGACAGACAGCUACAGUAGGGAGGUAUUGACAUUUGUUUUGGGGCUGGGAGAGGAUUGGGUGAGAGAUUUCUUCUUGGAAUGUGAUGCAUUGAAAUGGAAUUAUGAGCUAAGUGUCCAUACGCACUCACGUCAAGUAAAAAUGAGGCAAUUCAAUUUGAAAUUGGGACCAGAUGCACUUCCAAGAUCCAGGCAAGCUUCUGGGGCUACAGAUGGAUGGAAAUAAUUUGCUGACCAGGUAAAAGAAAUCUAUGAUUUUGUCAAAACCAGCAGUCACAAAGUAACAAGGUAAAAGACAAUAGUCUUUUUUUUUUUUUUUUAAUGCUGAAUAGAGUCCUGCUAUCCCAUACUGUCUCAGGAGGAAAAAACAAACAAAAUAAAAGGGGUGGGGGGGGUGGAGAAAAAUUUCAGUAAAAGAGGGAGAUACAAAACAUAGUGGAUCUGUCUUCCAGAAAAAAUGAAGGUAAAGCCCUCACUCCCCUCUCCUGAAAAAGCCAGUGCGCCCUGUGGACUAACUUUAAUAUACUUCUCUGUGUAGGAAAGAUACAGGAACAUAACAACCUUGAACAUGGGACCUAUCCAAAAACAGGUUUACAAACAUCUCCCAUCCAUGAGGACCAGAAACAAAAGGACUGGAGGGACCUGUGGUACAGGGAUUACUAAACCUCACUGAGCACAGCUGUGACUACACUGCAUAUUUUCCUUUGCUUUGCCCUUGCUUUCUUCUGUAAAGCUCUAAAGCUCUGAUGAUCUUUGUGUCAAAAAAAAAAAAAAAAAGCUGUUCUACUGUAGAAAGCAAUAAGCAAGUGGAUUUCGAGAAAGGUUGCAGGUCAUAAUUUUUUUGCAAAUUAAUAUUCUGUUCUGUGGAGAAAAUUAAUUCAGGAUGUCAUCACUCGUUACACCUGUCAUUCAAAAUAGAUAGUUCCCAGAGGAAGAAGUGCUUGAACAGCUCCUUCCACCUCCUUGCCCAUGCACCUUACCCUCCUCAAAGUCUGUGUUUGGCAGAGGCUUUCUCCUGGGCUUCCCAAAGUCACCUUGCAGCUUCCUAGCAAGACUCCCUCUGACCAGGAGCCACACAAAUGCUUGUGUUUGCUGGUAGCCUCCAAGGAACAAACAAAGAGCUCUUCCCCAGGCUCAGAGAAGAGCCUCUCACCUCUCUCCUAUGCAUGUGCUCUUGCAGAUGACUCAGACUGGGUCAUGGAUUUUGGCUUUCUUCCAGGCCGAAUCCAUUUGAGGUCCAUAGACAUGUUGCAGACAGCAGCACGUCUGUCUGUCCUCUGCAACAGUCAUAACUGCAGAUUUCUAGCAUGCUCAUAGUAAUAAUUUUAUGGAAGGGUUCAGAAGAAAUAAAGAUGAUUUGAUACAAGUUAUUCUCGGUUAUUCUAAAGCCCACAGUAUUUAUUAAGGAUGCAUAUUCAGUUUGGGACACAAUAUAAACUCUUGGUUUUAAGAAUUAUUUGAGCACCCCCUAUUUCAAUAUGUCAUGACAUGAAAAUGAAGCAUUAAAAUCAUUAAAUAUAUCAGCAAUGAUAAUUAAAUAUGUCAGCAAAAAUAUAUUGCUGACAUUUGAUUUUAUAUUGAAAGUAUCCUUAAAUUAAUAUUGGAGAGACAGGUCUUUUAGCUGAGUUGGGGAAAGUGCUGGAAAUAAAUGUUUCUUUACACCCUCAGAAUUCAGAAACGUUUCAACAAAUGUUUCAAACAUUUACAAAGCCAUAUGUGUUAAAAUACAGUUUCUAGUGAGCUAAUCUAUGAAUCUCAAAAUGAACAAAAAUGAUUACUCACUUUCCCACAGGAAGAAAUCAUCAAGUUUCACUCAUGCUCCUUUUCCUGAAUGAUUAACUAUACUUCUGAAUCAACAACAGAUGACCUGCAGUAACCAUUCACAAGGGGCUAAAGUCAUAAAUAGAUACAGUCCCAAAAUAUAUUUAUUUAAAAUAUAAACAACUCUCAGAUCAGCAGAGCAACAUGAUAGGUUUGCUCAGCACAUAUAAAGAUAUAAGUAUCAAAUCUUCCCACAACUUAGAGCCUGUACAGUUUUCCUGGAUAAUCCAUACAAGCAAAGCAAUGAGAUCUAACAACAGGAAGAAAAAGAAAAAAGAAAAAAGAAAAAAGAAAAAAAGAAAAAAGAAAAAAAGAAAAAGAAAAAAGAAAAAAGAAAAAAGAAAAAAGAAAAAAGAAAAAAGAAAAAAGAAAAAAGAAAAAAGAAAAAAGAAAAAAGAAAAAAGUCAGAUAUAGAUAUAAAUAUCUAUGCUAACAAUGAAUACAGGCUGGCUAUGUUUCACUGACUGCAAAAAAAAAAAAGCAUAUCAGUUUUAUCACGACUUGCAAACAAGUGUUCAGAGACAUAAUUGAGCUCAGAUCUCAACAUCAAUGGAAAACUCAAUUGUAUCAGCAUCAACAAAGCUUUUCUGAUAUAAAUAUAAAUAAUGAGAAGCAGCUACACCAAAGACAUGGAUAAAUAUAGAAAAAAUCUGUCAAUAAAAAAGACUGCACUGCCCAAAUAGAAUCAAACAGAAUGUGCUGGAAGCUAAAUCUUAUUACUGUUUUAAUGAUAUUAAAGUUAUCUUCUAUCAGCAGACCAUUUUCUAAAAGGUUAGGAGGCAGCUGGAAACACCUAUCGAGGGUACCUCUGAAGAUGCUAUCUCCAGAAGCUGUGCUCCAGAGAAUAUCAUUUCUUUCGAUUCCUUUGUAAAGUUCUCCAACUGUUGUGGUAAAGCAGAGUUCAAAGGUUUGAACUGCCCCAUUAAUUCAUUCAGGGCUUUAUCAUGCUGCCAAUAACUCACAUGUCAGGGAUGCCAUUACUUUUCUCUUUUAAUCAAAGAGAGAAAGGACUGCAGAUCUGCACAGACAGUUGCUGUGAAUGUUGCCUUAUUUAGGUUUAUGUUGAAGGGUCAAAGAGCAGGGGAAGCUGUGGGGACUAACAAGAAAUAUAUUCCCUCCAGUUAAGGAGCCAUGUGCAUAGCCAAGCUCAGCUGAAGAGAACUAUACAAGGCAUGUGGCUGGGCUCAAAGAGUGGCUCAACAAUAUUUUUACUGUGAUUGACAGGUGAAACACUUGCUAUUGGGAUACAGAGAUGCAAUUUUUCAACAAUACUGCUAGGAGCUAAACAGGUAGGCAAGGCAUAGAGGAAUAAGGUUAUCAUAUCCCUGACUUUCUUCCAUUCGUCUUUCACAACCAAAUUUAAGAGGCUGCUUGAAUUUAAAUUACGUGUCUUGAAACUUUAGAGCACUUAUAAUAAAUAAUUUUGUGGCACAGGUGAGGCCAGUGUUAAAUACCAUGAGAUUUCAUCGUUCAUUCCAUGAAUGAUGAAGCUUUAGAAACUGUAGAAGUCUGGCAUCUAUUCAGAAGUUGAUUGAAAUAUUUUGUUCAAAAUUACAGGAGACUUGGUACAAAGUUUAAAGACUGUGUAGCCAUUAUAUUAUUCAUAAGGCACUCUUUAAGCACACAAGGACUGGCUGAUCAGCAUGUCAAACACAGGAAGAUAUAUAUUAAUGGAGACAAAAUGUAACAAAGAAAGAUUUAUAUCAGUGUCACUGAGAUAAUGACCAGCUGGAGCUGGGGCUGGGCAAGGGGCCACAAAGGAGCAGGAAGAAUCCUUAAGCCACUUCUAACAACAAACCUCCAUCUUCACUCUCCCCAGCUUGAGCUCAGCUCCCUUACUCCCUAAAGGGUAUGAAAAAAAAAAAAAAAAAAAAAAAGAAACUCUUCCUUCUUGCAAAAGCCUUUCACAUAUAUUAAGAAUGAUAUAUCUGUCCAAGUAUUCUCUUCUGUAGACUAAAAAGCAUAAAUAUUAAACAAUAAUAUUAGAACAAUUUCUCUCUUGAGCCCUUCUAUCCACUUUAGUACUCUACUUCUGCUUACCAGCCACUAAGCAGUUACUGAUUGAUGCUAGUUUGUUUACUGGAAAGAGCUCCUUUUGAAACACAUCCACCAAUUAUUCCAAAGGAACAUAAAUAUCCAUUUGUAACUACUAUUUAAAACAAAUAAUCUUCUCUGUGAUCAGAUUUCAUGGUUAGAUUCCUAUCAAACGAAUCACAUAAAUCGAUGGGGUCCACCAGGCUUUUCAUGUGCUGGUUUGUUGUGUUUUAAGUAUGCUGGAUAAUGAAGCUCUCACUUGUAAAUUUGUUAAAAUGGGCUCAUUUCCUUUCUCAAGAUAUGAUUUUCUUGCAACUACAUUUUAGUUUUCAUCUCAAGCAAAGUAGACCAUUCUUUUUUCUUUACCAAUCACCAUUUGAGUGUCACACACAACAGAAGGCAAUGGAUUGGCUACAGCAACCAUGGAAGUGACAUGGAUUUUUGCUCUGAAUUCUCCAAGGAACAUAAGCAUUUUCCAAAGAAUACAACUAAAAGUGGAUGAAAACAUUUUUUUGUGAAUAGAGAAUUCAUUGAAAAGGGCUGUGACAGAGAGACCAACUUUAUUUCUAAACCCAGCCCAGAGUUGGUGGGAAUUUUCCACAAACCAAACAAA
Molecule: long non-coding RNA, 8481 nt
Organism: Cygnus olor (mute swan)
Lineage: Eukaryota; Metazoa; Chordata; Aves; Anseriformes; Anatidae
Exons: 2
Source: RefSeq, a predicted model, not a curated record